RNAcentral lists this ribosomal RNA (523 nucleotides) under uncultured bacterium. RNAcentral's name for it is "bacterial SSU rRNA". It matches the Rfam family "Bacterial small subunit ribosomal RNA", at positions 355 to 895 of the family's 1533-position model. The record is from RNAcentral.
CAAGGAAUUUUCCGCAAUGGGCGCAAGCCUGACGGAGCGACGCCGCGUGGAGGAAGACCCCCUUCGGGGCGUAAACUCCUUUUGUGGGGGACGAAGACUGACGGUACCCCACGAAGAAGCACCGGCUAACUACGUGCCAGCAGCCGCGGUAAGACGUAGGGUGCAAGCGUUGUCCGGAGUUACUGGGCGUAAAGGGCGCGUAGGCGGUUAUCCGCGUCGCACGUGAAAGCCCCCGGCUCAACCGGGGAGGGUCGUGCGAGACGGGAUAACUGGAGGCAGGGAGAGGCUGGUGGAAUUCCCGGUGUAGUGGUGAAAUGCGUAGAGAUCGGGAGGAACACCUGAGGCGAAGGCGGCCAGUUGGCCCUGACCUGACGCUGAGGCGCGAAGGCUCGGGGAGCGAACGGGAUUAGAUACCCCGGUAGUCCGAGCAGUAAACGCUGUGGACUAGGUGUGGGAGGAGUUGACCCCUUCGUGCCGGGCUAACGCAGCAAGUCCACCGCCUGGGGAGUACGGCCGCAAGGCU